This is a non-coding RNA of Flavobacteria bacterium MS024-2A, 110 nucleotides long. The record is from Rfam. Lineage: Bacteria; Pseudomonadati; Bacteroidota; Flavobacteriia.
UAAGGUGGUUAUAGCAGUAGGGCUCACCUCUUCCCAUUCCGAACAGAGAAGUUAAGCCUACUAGCGCAGAUGGUACUGCCAUCCGGUGGGAGAGUAUGUCGCCGCCUUCU